Molecule: non-coding RNA, 72 nt
Organism: Bos taurus (domestic cattle)
Lineage: Eukaryota; Metazoa; Chordata; Mammalia; Artiodactyla; Bovidae
Source: Rfam
UCCCUGGCAGUCCGGUGGUUAAGACUCAGUGCUUUCACUUCCGAGGCCCAGGUUUGAUUCCUGGUCAGGGAA